GUAGGUGGCAAGCGUUGUCCGGAAUUAUUGGGCGUAAAGCGCGCGCAGGCGGUUCUUUAAGUCUGAUGUGAAAGCCCACGGGCUCAACCGUGGAGGGUCAUUGGAAACUGGAGAACUUGAGUACAGAAGAGGAAAGCGGAAUUCCACGUGUAGCGGUGAAAUGCGUAGAGAUGUGGAGGAACACCAGUGGCGAAGGCGGCCUUCUGGUCUGUAACUGACGCUGAGGCGCGAAAGCGUGGGGAGCAAACAGGAUUAGAUACCCUGGUAGUCCACGCCGUAAACGAUGAGUGCUAAGUGUUAGGGGGUUUCCGCCCCUUAGUGCUGCAGCUAACGCAUUAAGCACUCCGCCCGGGGAGUACGGCCGCAAAGGCUG
This 373-nucleotide ribosomal RNA is filed under the name uncultured organism. RNAcentral's name for it is "partial 16S ribosomal RNA". It matches the Rfam family "Bacterial small subunit ribosomal RNA", at positions 527 to 896 of the family's 1533-position model. The record is from RNAcentral.